GACGUAGGGGGCCAGCGUUGUUCGGAAUUACUGGGUGUAAAGGGUUCGUAGGCGGUGCGGCAAGUUGGGAGUGAAAUCUCUGGGCUUUACCCAGAGGCUGCUUCCAAAACUGCUGUGCUUGAGUGUGGGAGAGGCGCGUGGAAUUGCAGGUGUAGCGGUGAAAUGCGUAGAUAUCUGCAGGAACACCCGUGGCGAAAGCGGCGCGCUGGACCACUACUGACGCUGAGGAACGAAAGCUAGGGGAGCAAACAGG
RNAcentral lists this ribosomal RNA (253 nucleotides) under uncultured bacterium. RNAcentral describes it as "partial 16S ribosomal RNA". It matches the Rfam family "Bacterial small subunit ribosomal RNA", at positions 524 to 776 of the family's 1533-position model. The record is from RNAcentral.